Molecule: long non-coding RNA, 8588 nt
Organism: Physeter macrocephalus (sperm whale)
Lineage: Eukaryota; Metazoa; Chordata; Mammalia; Artiodactyla; Physeteridae
Exons: 4
Source: RefSeq, a predicted model, not a curated record
GGGAGCUCGGGAGACGUGCAGAACCUCAGAAUCCCCCGGCUUCGGGGUGAGGACACUGGGCAUAUACCCUACCUCUCGUCAGUAGGGUCCCUGGCCGAGGCCGCUCCCAGAGCCAUUCAUCCAGCCCUCCAGCCUGCUUCACUGCAGCCAGAGAGAUGGCCUCGGGCUGAGCAUCCCCCGUGCCCCCAGUAGAGCAUGGACUGCCGUACUGAGUGCCCAGGAGAGCUGGCUGUGGCUUUUAUAAUUUUUAAAUGUUUUCUUCCCCAACAAAGCCAGGCUUUCAAGAAGAUGGUCUUGCUAUGGACACAAAAAUAUCUAAUUUGGAACUCAAAUCUGGUUGUUUCUUUCAGGUUUCAUCCCCCAUGUCUUAGUCAGCUUGGGCUGCUGUAACAAAAGACCAUCACUGGGUGACUUUAACAAUUCCUUUCUCAGUCCUGGAGGCUGGGAAUUCCCAGAUCAAGGUGCUGGAUGAUUCAGUGUCUGAAUAUGAUGGACGUGACACUAUGCCAUUUCUGGGCCUGGUAGCUUCUUCUUUCAUGCUUUUGGGAGCCCUGAGCUGCCGUAUGGGAAGUCCAGCUACCCUGCUGCAGACGCAACUGGGGCAGACCCACAGAGACAGAGAAGACCUGAGAGAGAGUCCUGGCCUUGGGCACCAUGCACUCAGCAAGCGGAAAAAAAGGUUUCGUGCUAUCAUUGUUAUUCUUCUUCGCUGAUCAGUGGUUAUCACGUACCAGCUUGGGGAUUUUACAUCCCAAGGAGAUCUUCCGUUUCCAGAAUCUUUCAUCCCCACGAAACUGCCUCAUGUGGAAUCAGGGAACUCCUGAAGUCUACCUUUAGUCUUUUGUGCUGCUCUCUGAGGAGACGGAGCGCAGUCCAGUCUGCUCUGGGGCUGCCUUCAUCUCUUUCCCCGUCGGGGUGUGUCACGAGCUCACUGAAGCCUCUCGUCACCACGAAUGCCACCUCUGAGACCUGUGCAGGGAGCAUGGCCCUGGAGUUCGAUGGAUCCGAGUUCAAAUGCUGCUUCAGCUGCUGCCCCUGGGGCCCUGGGGCCUUUGCCCUCCCCAUCACCAUGGCAGCCCUCAGUUUCUUCACCUGCCCAAAGUGGAGAAUGGUGAUGGCCUCCUGGUAGCUGUGAUGCUUAGACACAGCAGGUCCUAGGAUCCACUUAUGCACUGAAGAAGGAUUUGGGGCACAUGGCUUACCUCUCCACCCUCUCCAGAGCACAGAGGUGAGUCCUGAGCCCUGGCUGCAGGGAACUUGCCACAAGGCUCAAGCAGGCAAAAUGCAGCACUGAAUCAACAAUUCAGUGAUAAUUCAGGUUGUUGCAAUAGAUGCACAAGGCCAAAAAACUCUGUCCUUCCCUCCACCCGCCCCCCACCCUGCCCCCCGCCAAGGAGCUCACUGUCAAACCUGGGAGAUAGGUAAUAAUAACCAUUUCUGUAAUAACAAUACUGUUAAAAAAUAAUAAGGAUCGUUUGUUGAGUUGGGCUGAGAAUUGUAAUGUGAUUUACAUGGGUUUUAUUUUAAUCCUCACAAAAACCUGAGAAGGCAUCCUCAGAGCUGCUUGCUCUCAGGGUCACACAGGAGAGCUGUGAUUUAAACCCAGAUGACUCUGUUCUAUGCCUCUGUGCACAGGUCUCUGUGCACAAGGCUGCAGUCUCCUGAGUGUCCCCUAUGUGCCAAACCAGGCACUGUCCCUGCAGUAAGUGAUAUCCAUCUUCAGUGUAUACUGCAAUUUGGGUUGCCAGGGACAGAAAACCUAAUUCAAAGGAGCUUAAAUAAUAAAGGGAAUUCACUGGCUUACAUAACGAAAAAAGAGGUAGGACUGCUUCAGGCAAGGAUUGAUCCAGCCUCUAGACACUGUUUGGUAUGGAUAGGACCACCAAUGCAUUUUCCCUUUCUUCAUUUCUUGGCUCUACUUCCUCAUUGUUGCAUCAUUUUCAGCAAGCCUAUCCCUCCUGCCUCUAGGAUGGUCACCAGCUGAUUCCUCCUUCGCAUCUGUGAUAAACAAGAGUCCGAGUCACUCAACAGCUAAAUCCAAGUCCCAGAAUUUGGCCUGUGUGUGGCCAGAUUUGGGUCAUGUGCCCAUUCCUGUACCAAUCACUGUGGCCAGUCAAGUCCUCCUGUGGCCAAACCACAUCGCCAGGAAAUUUAGGGCAAUGAGAGGGAGAGGGAAAAGGAUGCCAAACUAUAAAUAAAAAUCCACUGCUUUCUUCCUACAAAAAAGGUGUUCUACCCAUUUAAUGGAUGAGGAAACUGAGGAUCGGAGCAGCCAUGCACCAGGAUGGUGCUGUCUGACGGGGGAGGGAGCUUUCCCAGGAGAGGAGAGACAGCUAUAGCCAUUGUGGGCAUCUUACAUAAAAACUCCUGUGCACACACCUAUGCUUAACAAGGAUUUUGUUAUCCUAACGUUCCCACUUUCCCAAAACCCACUGUUGCACCUCACUCUAGUAACUGAAGAAUGCAAAUGGAAACAGCCAGAGUCUCAUUUUUGGCUCAACAAAUUGGCAAAAGUGGACAAAAUAAUGAUCCUUGAUGCUAGGGUGUGUGGAGUGAGGCAGGCUCCUUAUCUCUGGCUGGUGGCAUAGAAAUUGGUCCGAGCUUUCUGGAAGAGAGUGCUUCUAUAUUGUGUUAAGAGCCCUAGCAGUUAGUAGCCUUUGACUCUGAGCAAUUUUACUUCUAGGAAUCCAUCGUUAAAUGAUGGGGACCACCCAAUAAAGAAAUAUGAAGUUGUCCAGUGCUGUGUUACUUGUAGCAGGGGAACCCUGGUAACACUGCGUUCUCAGUUGCUCAUCUACCAAAGGCAGUGUGCAAAAAAUGCAGCCCUUUUUAUUGCUCUAAGCCUGAGCUUAAUUUCUAUUUCAACUUUCCAUUCUGACCAGGGGCAGAAACCUAAUCUCUGUGGCUCAGGCUCCCCAUGCCCGCUGCCUCUUUCCCUCCUUGGGAUGCUCUUGGUCUUGUGUGGUUGUUAGUUCUUGAUUCACUUAAUCACUGCCUGUCCCCCGCAUUCCUCUCCCACCCUGUGGCCUUCUGUGUGUGGGGGAACAUUCUCCCUCUGGGAGGUAGGGACCUUGCAGACAGUAAGCUCAGGCCCUCUGCCUGGACCCCGCAGGCAGACAUGUCUUCUGCUCUCAUUCUGUGUUGAUGCAGGGAGUGGGGAGUGGCCGAUGGGUCCUCUUUGCCUUAGAUUUCUGUACCUUUAUAGAGUUUCUGCUAGAAUCUAGUGUUUUCCUGCCCUCUUGGAUACUCUUGUGCUCAGCCCAGGGAUUCAUCCUUAGCUGGUCUGGGGUGAGAAUCCUUGCUUUUAUACCUUCUUGCCUUCUUCCACAUCUUUUGCCUUAUGUCAGAAGCCAAGACAGUGCAGGUGUCUGGACUGGGUGUGAGGUGGGGUGGAGAUGCUGGUGCAUGAAGGAGGAUUCUGGGGGGAACUUUGGUUAGAGCCGCAAAUAGGAACAGCUAAUAUUUAUUGAGCACUUACUAUGUGCCAGACCCUAUUCUAACCGAUUUACAUGUAUUAGCUCAUUAAUCUGUAUGAAAACUGACUUUGAUUGUUGAAGAAACUGAGGUUCAGGCUAGGGAUGUUUUUUACCCAAGGUCACAUAGCUGGAAAUGGUUAGGACAGGGCUUUGAACGAGGCAGUCCAAUUCUAAAAUUCCUGCUUCCAGCCAUUCCUCCCAUGGCCAGCAGGGGUAGGAAGGGUGUUGGUGGUGAGCAAGGGGCCGAAGUGGUCUGAGCCCUCAGGGCUGGUUAAGGAGGGGGAAGGAGUUCAGGAUCAGCCCCCCUUCCCUGCUCCCUGCUGCCCUUCACCUGGGGAGGGCCGAGCUCCCCAUUGGCAGAUGCAUGGGCCAGUGUCCUGCUGUGGUUGACUAAGUCUUGGGCCCCCGGCCUUGACCUCAGCUCUGCCUGGGGAGUCGCUGCAUGACCACCUCUUGAGGCAUCCAGGAGUGGAUGAAUUUUGCACAGGAGCCUUGGAGGCUAGAUUCUCCUAUGAUGGGCCUGGGAGACCCAGCCUCCUCCCACCCCACAUCCAGCCCCACUCCUGUCUGAGCCGGUGGGGGAGUCCUAAGCACCUACUGUGUACUCUUUCUUUCUAUGCUGUCUCACAUCAGCCAUGUGUUACAAUUCACCUUUUACAGUUGAGGAAACUGAGGCUCAGAGAGGUGAAGUCACUUACCCCGGGUCACACAGCCAGUAAGGGGGCAACUUGAGGUUGAACCCCAUCUGGUUUAUGCUCAUCCCACUCCAUCAGGGCUGUGAAUAGGCGAUGUGAUCCCUGCCCUAGAAUUCUAGCCCUGACCAGGCCCUCUAGGGGGCAGGGCCAGGGUUUGGGUUAUGGGCUUGGAGGUGGGGAGGAGGCAAAGACUCUGUGAGCACCAACCUGAGGAACCUGUGUGCUGCCGUCUGAUGUAUCUGGACAGUUCAGCUGUCGUCUGAACUUCCUACAGGGAUUCUCUUAAAGGAAUCAUGUGAGAGAGAAGGGACAGUGACAUGGAUAAGUCUGCUUUGGUUUUCAGGUGAUGGCUCUGGGAUCACACAGACUUGGGCUGAAAUCACAGCUCUGCCUGCUACCGGCUAUGUGGUUUGGGACAAAUCCUUUGUUAUCUCUGAGUCUUGGGCUUCAUAGCUAGAAAAUGGGUAUAAUGGUGCCUCCCCUGACCCUAUAGAGAUCACAGUGUACAAAGUCCACACAUAACUUUUGCCAAAUUCAUUGAGUCUUUUCUAUGUACCGGACACCAUCCUAACCCUUCACACCCUUCACUUCAUUUGAUCUUCACUCUGAUCUGAUGUGGGGGGGUGCUCAGUGAGGUGAAUCACCCGCCUAAGGUUACACAGCGUGGAGGUGGCAGAGCAGGACUCAGCUGGCCUGUCUGCCUCGAGUGCCCACAGCCUCCCCUGCCCGUCUCUUUCUCUGUCCCUUUCGUGCUCGGGCUGGGGCCCUGGUGCUUCUGAUCCUGUGGUGUCUGCAGAGGAAGCUGACUCAGAGUUUUGCCGGAAUUCUCUAUCAGCUUCCAAGUACUCCUGGUGAGUGUGGGUCCCUGAGGGGUGAGGGCCUGGGUCCUCCUGACUCUCCCUGAGACAUAACCAGCACUUGCCUCAAACCUUUCUUCCCUCCCACCCUCCCCCAGGCCCGUGGAAUAUUUCCUACAGGGAUAGUGAUGCUUCCCCGUAGUUCGCUGUUGUCAGCUGGUGCUUCCAGCUCUGCUCCCCGCCUCCUGCAGCCUCGUGGUGGCUGGUGGCUGGCGGUGGGCCCUGGGAUCACCCCAGGAGACUCUUUGAAAGCCUUCCAAGCAGGCAGCACCAGCGGGCUCAUCACUGCAGAGACCCGUCUCCUGGAGCACAUCUGUCUCAGCUUGGGUCCGCCACCCAGAAAGCAGACUCUGAGACAAGGCCGGGUGCAGGUGGUUUAUUUGGGACCAGAUCCCAAGGACCAGGGGAAUAGAAGAGAGAUGGAGGCAAGCAUUAUCCAGUUAGCCUUUGGCACGGGGGAUCGGUGUUCCACCUUGCUGGAACCUUCUGAGAAGACUUAAGAAACACAUCUCUGAACUGUCCACCUAGGGGUCAGAGGGAGAAACAUUUACCUGUUGGCGCCUGUCCCCCACCGGUCGAGGUGGGCCUAGGGGUGUUGGCUCCCCACACUUCUGGCUGCGCGUGGGAGUCCAGCUUCGGAAGAGGGGCCAGAAGCGAGGGGUCAGCAUCCUCAGUGCUGUGAAGUGGCCCCUACGUGAAGCUGCGUGAGGUCCGCAGCAGUGGCUGGAGAAGGGGUGCGUGUUGGGCGGGGGUGAGAGGACUUGCAGAGCUACUCAGGAGGUGUCCAGUACCAGCAUCUCUGCCCCGCCUGGUCAUUUCCUCUCCCUUCCCCGAACCCAUGGGUACUCAGGAGUACCCCGCUUUGCCAGUGGUCUGGAGUUAACAACCACCGCUGGGCUUCUGUUAUAUAGGUUGUGUGGUGUCCUUCUGAAUGUACACCUGUUCUGUCCCAGGUCCUGCGCUAAGCACUGUGACAUAUAAUUUGAGCCUCACAAUUCUAUGGGGAAGGCACUAUACCCUCCCCAUUUUAUAGGGGGAGGAAAUGGAGGCUCAGAGAGGUGAAGGCUCAUGCUCCAGGUCACACAGCUUGGAAGAGUGGUGUUGGGCUUUGCAGCCAGACCUCUUUCCUGCUGCGGCCCUCCAUCAGCUGGUUCGCCCUCCCGCGUUCCUUCCCCAUCUCCAUCCUCCCUGUCACUGGGGCCAGACCACCCAGUGGGAGGCAGGUAAUAGGUUUUUCAAGGGAGGGAGGCAUGGGAAAGGCACUGGGUUGAAAGCGGGUGGAGAAAUGGGGGGAUACGGGAAGUCUGCCAGGUGGGGCUGUAUCUUCUCUCAGUCCUGACACCCCUCCCCCAUGAUGCAGCCCCCCAAUCCCGUCUCCCCACCUCCCCCGCCCCAUCCUCCUCCCUUAGACUCCCAGAAGGGCCUUCACGACUCGUCUAGACCAGGCUUUCAAGAUUCCUUGACAGGAGGGGAAUCCUUUGUUGAUAUGACAUAUUACAAGGACUCCCAGCACACCAAGCAGAUAAAAGCGAGUCUGAUCUGGGGGGCAGCUGGGGGGCAGGGCCAGAGCUCCACUUUCUCCACUGCCCCCUACUCCCCCGCUCCCCACUCCCACUUCAAAAUGCCCCUGAGACUAUUCCAGGGAACCCUGGGGUCCCAAGGAAUCCACUUUGAAAACCCCUACUCUCAUCCAUACCUCCUCCAGUAGAUAGGGAGAAGGAGGCCCGGAGAGGUCCCCUGACCUGCUCAAGGUCACCCAGGGAGUCAGGGGCAGAGGCAAGGCCCAGGCUGCGUGGCAUCCAGGGUGUGCAUCCGCUGCGUCCUCUAUGUGGCCAAGGGCUCCACGUUGUAAAAUUCCCCUUGCAAACGCCAAGCGUGCCCCUGGCAUUGUGUUUGCUCACACCUGCGGAGGCUAGUGCUUCCAAAUCCUUAUCAUUAGAGCGGGGCUCAUCACUCCGGGCCUUCCCCCACUCCACUCUCCAGGCUGAGAUAAGGGGCAUUAUCUGUCUCAGAGAGCGGAGCUCCUGGAGCAGUGGACGUAAUAAAAGAUGUUUGCCGAUCAGACCAUGUUCACUGAAUCUCCUUGAAGAAAAGAUAUAGAAAUAGCUCAGCGGGCCCUGAAAGCCCCCAGGCCUGACUUCCCUGGAGACGCGAGGACCAGGCCAUGUGAGGUCCCGGAGACCCCUGCCUUUCCUGGGCCCCCUUCUCAGUGGGAGCCCAUAGGGAUGCCCUGACAUGACGCAGGAGUGAGCUGGGUCACCGGCAGGCAGGAGGAGUGUCCAGUGUCCAUUGGCCUCCCUCUGGCUGUGUGUCCCUAAGUCUCUGCUCCUCUCUGGGCCUCCUCUCUGGGCCCAUAUGUACCAGAAGCUGUGGGCCUGGACCAUCCCUAGUGCCUCAGUAGCUCGGGCAGUCUCUGUCCUCUAAACCCCAUUCUGCCUUGGACCCCUCGAUGCAGGCGAAGCUUGUGGGCUCCUGACCCCUCUUCUGCAUGUCCAGGGACCAGCUGCACACUAGAGCCUUCCCUCCACCCCCAAGGCUCCCACCUGCUCCCCUCCUGGAGGACCGACUCUAAAGGAAGCCUGUCCUUUGUCAGCAGAGCCGCCUCUCCCAGCAAAGGGCUUUCAUCUCAGUGAGCAGGACGUUCCUGACCGCAGAGGGAGCCUUCAGGGAACCCAGCCUCUUGUCCUCUAAUGUCUGGGCUGGAGCAGCUGCAGGAAGUUGGGUGAGCUGGUGUGGCUCAGUGGCUAAGGGUAAAACAGACCUGACCUUGAAUUCUGACUAUAUUCUGGGGCUAGUUGCUUAAUGGUCACAUGACUCAGUUUCCCUAAGUGGAUUAUGGGGGCUAAUAAUCGUACCUAAUUAAAUGGUUCAAGAAAUAAACAGCUAGUGUAAAAGAUCUAGCACACUGCUUGGCGCAUGAUAAACACUCUAUUGCGAUAAACUGAUUGUAUUAACAACCUCCAUUUUUCAGUCUUUCUUGUACCUCUAUCCUUUGCAAUAAGACCCUGCAGUUGAUCCCACUACUGGGCGUAUACCCAGAGAAAACCAUAAUUCAGAAUGACACAUGCACCCCAAUGUUCGUUGCAGCACUCUUUACAAUAGCCAGGUCAUGGAAGCAACCUAAAUGCCCAUCGACAGACGAAUGGAUAAAGAAGAUGUACUUAUAUGCAAUGGAAUAUUACUCAGCCAUGAAAAGGAAUGAAAUUGGGUCAUUUGUAGAGACGUGGAUGGACCUAGAAACUGUCAUACAGAGUGAAGUAAGUCAAAAAGAGAAAAAAAAUUAUCGUGUAUUAUUGCAUAUAUGUGGAAUCUAGAAAAAUGGUACAGAUGAAUCGGUUUGCAAGGCAGACAUAGAGACACAGAUGUAGAGUACAAAUGUAUGGACACCAAGGGGGGAAAGUUGGGGGCGGUGCUGGUGGGAUGAACUGGGAGAUUGGGAUUGACAUGUAUACACUAACAUGUAUAAAAUAGAUAACUAAUAAGAAAGUGCUGUAUAAAAAAAAUAAAUAAAAUAAAAUUUAAAAAAAACAAUAAAAAAAGAACUGAAUAUUUGUUCUUGA